CCUACGGGCGGCAGCAGUGAGGAAUAUUGGUCAAUGGACGAGAGUCUGAACCAGCCAAGUAGCGUGAAGGAUGACUGCCCUAUGGGUUGUAAACUUCUUUUAUAUGGGAAUAAAAUGUUCCACGUGUGGGAUUUUGUAUGUACCAUAUGAAUAAGGAUCGGCUAACUCCGUGCCAGCAGCCGCGGUAAUACGGAGGAUCCGAGCGUUAUCCGGAUUUAUUGGGUUUAAAGGGUGCGUAGGUUGAUUGUUAAGUCAGUUGUGAAAGUUUGCGGCUCAACCGUAAAAUUGCAGUUGAAACUGGCAGUCUUGAGUACGGUAGAGGUGGGCGGAAUUCGUGGUGUAGCGGUGAAAUGCUUAGAUAUCACGAAGAACUCCGAUUGCGAAGGCAGUUCACUGGACUGCAACUGACACUGAGGCGCGAAAGUGUGGGUAUCAAACAGGAUUAGAUACCCCUGUAGUC
This 460-nucleotide ribosomal RNA is filed under the name uncultured bacterium. RNAcentral's name for it is "partial 16S ribosomal RNA". It matches the Rfam family "Bacterial small subunit ribosomal RNA", at positions 338 to 795 of the family's 1533-position model. The record is from RNAcentral.